This 325-nucleotide ribosomal RNA is filed under the name uncultured bacterium. Its description in RNAcentral is "bacterial SSU rRNA". It matches the Rfam family "Bacterial small subunit ribosomal RNA", at positions 28 to 334 of the family's 1533-position model. The record is from RNAcentral.
GACGAACGCUGGCGGCGUGCUUAACACAUGCAAGUCGAACGAGGGCCCGAAGCUUGCUUCGGUGACCCGAGUGGCGAACGGGUGAGUAACACGUGACCAACCUAUCUCGAGGUGGGGGACAACCCUGGGAAACUGGGGCUAAUACCGCAUAACAUCACUUGCUCGCAUGGGCGGGUGAUCAAAGGGGGCCUCUGCUUGCAAGCUCUCACCUGGAGAGGGGGUCGCGCAGUAUCAGCUUGUUGGUGAGGUAACGGCUCACCAAGGCUACGACGCUUAGCGGAUUUGAGAGGAUGAUCCGUCACAUUGGGACUGAGAUACGGCCCAG